This 410-nucleotide small RNA is filed under the name Arabidopsis thaliana (thale cress). RNAcentral describes it as "ATSL032110". Lineage: Eukaryota; Viridiplantae; Streptophyta; Magnoliopsida; Brassicales; Brassicaceae. The record is from RNAcentral.
UUAAAUUAUAUUUAUUUUAUUAAUUAAGAUAAUAUAAUUGUAUUUUGAUUGUUAUAUUUAGGAUUUCACCGGUGGUAUACCGUCUCGUAUUACUAUCGACCCAAAUCCGUCCUACCAUCUAAUCCCGUUCAGUGAAACUAAACAUAUCUAACAGAUUUCACCCGUGGUAUACCGUCUCGUAUAACUGUCGAUCCAUCAUAUUAUUAUCGACCCAAACCCGUCCUACAAUCUAAUCCCGUUCAUUGAAACUAAGCAUAUCUAAUGGAUUUCACUUGUGGUAUAUCGUCUUGUAUUACUGUCGACCCACACCCGUCAUACCAUCUAACCCUGUUCAGUGAAAUUAAACAUUUUGUUUUUGUUAUUUUUGUUUUAAUAAUAUUUUAAUUGAAAAGAUAUACGUAUAGUUCAAA